AGCUUUGCUCAGUGGCGGUAUUAUGACCAACGAGUUCUAUCUGAGGCCCGAUUAUUGCUACUUGACAACUUUUCCCACUACGACUAUUGAAAUAUAGUUCGGAUUGGCAAUUUUUACACAAUCUGUAUGGAA
RNAcentral lists this small nuclear RNA (132 nucleotides) under Cebus imitator (Panamanian white-faced capuchin). Its description in RNAcentral is "U4 spliceosomal RNA (ENSCCAG00000001791.1)". It matches the Rfam family "U4 spliceosomal RNA". From Rfam's summary of the family: U4 small nuclear RNA (U4 snRNA) is a component of the major U2-dependent spliceosome. The structure of U4 snRNA from yeast and human has been reported. U4 snRNA presents a k-turn RNA motif in the 5p-SL related to recognition of Snu13 protein. The record is from Rfam by way of RNAcentral. Lineage: Eukaryota; Metazoa; Chordata; Mammalia; Primates; Cebidae.